GGAGGGGUGCCGGAGUGGCCAAUCGGAGCAGACUGUAAAUCUGCCGGCGGAAGCCUGCGUAGGUUCGAAUCCUACCCCCUCCACCA
Molecule: transfer RNA, 86 nt
Filed under: Dehalococcoidia bacterium
Lineage: Bacteria; Bacillati; Chloroflexota; Dehalococcoidia
Also listed under: 1 other name
Description: tRNA-Tyr
Rfam family: tRNA
About the family: Transfer RNA (tRNA) molecules are approximately 80 nucleotides in length. Their secondary structure includes four short double-helical elements and three loops (D, anti-codon, and T loops). Further hydrogen bonds mediate the characteristic L-shaped molecular structure. tRNAs have two regions of fundamental functional importance: the anti-codon, which is responsible for specific mRNA codon recognition, and the 3' end, to which the tRNAs corresponding amino acid is attached (by aminoacyl-tRNA synthetases). tRNAs cope with the degeneracy of the genetic code in two manners: having more than one tRNA (with a specific anti-codon) for a particular amino acid; and 'wobble' base-pairing, i.e. permitting non-standard base-pairing at the 3rd anti-codon position.
Source: RNAcentral